RNAcentral lists this ribosomal RNA (838 nucleotides) under Marmoricola sp. RKEM 1784. RNAcentral describes it as "bacterial SSU rRNA". It matches the Rfam family "Bacterial small subunit ribosomal RNA", at positions 21 to 873 of the family's 1533-position model. Lineage: Bacteria; Bacillati; Actinomycetota; Actinomycetes; Propionibacteriales; Nocardioidaceae. The record is from RNAcentral.
GGCUCAGGACGAACGCUGGCGGCGUGCUUAACACAUGCAAGUCGAGCGGUAAGGCCCUUCGGGGUACACGAGCGGCGAACGGGUGAGUAACACGUGAGCAAUCUGCCCUUCACUCUGGGAUAACCCCCGGAAACGGGAGCUAAUACCGGAUAUGACCACUACACGCAUGUGUUGGUGGUGGAAAGUUCUGGCGGUGGAGGAUGAGCUCGCGGCCUAUCAGCUUGUUGGUGGGGUAAUGGCCCACCAAGGCUUCGACGGGUAGCCGGCCUGAGAGGGUGACCGGCCACACUGGGACUGAGACACGGCCCAGACUCCUACGGGAGGCAGCAGUGGGGAAUAUUGGACAAUGGGCGAAAGCCUGAUCCAGCAACGCCGCGUGAGGGAUGACGGCCUUCGGGUUGUAAACCUCUUUCAGCGCAGACGAAGCGAGAGUGACGGUAUGCGCAGAAGAAGCACCGGCCAACUACGUGCCAGCAGCCGCGGUAAUACGUAGGGUGCGAGCGUUGUCCGGAAUUAUUGGGCGUAAAGGGCUCGUAGGCGGUUUGUCGCGUCAGGAGUGAAAACUCGGGGCUCAACCCCGAGCCUGCUUCUGAUACGGGCAGACUAGAGGUAUGCAGGGGAGAACGGAAUUCCUGGUGUAGCGGUGAAAUGCGCAGAUAUCAGGAGGAACACCGGUGGCGAAGGCGGUUCUCUGGGCAUUACCUGACGCUGAGGAGCGAAAGUGUGGGGAGCGAACAGGAUUAGAUACCCUGGUAGUCCACACCGUAAACGUUGGGCGCUAGGUGUGGGGCUCAUUCCACGAGUUCCGUGCCGCAGCUAACGCAUUAAGCGCCCCGCC